UGGGGAAUAUUGGACAAUGGGCGCAAGCCUGAUCCAGCCAUGCCGCGUGAGUGAAGAAGGCCUUAGGGUUGUAAAUCUCUUUCGGCGGGGAAGAUAAUGACGGUACCCGCAGAAGAAGCCCCGGCUAACUCCGUGCCAGCAGCCGCGGUAAUACGGAGGGGGCUAGCGUUGUUCGGAAUUACUGGGCGUAAAGGGCACGUAGGCUGGCUGUUAAGUCGGGGGUGAAAUCCCGAGGCUCAACCUCGGAAUUGCCUUCGAUACUGACGGUCUUGAGUGCGGGAGAGGUGAGUGGAAUUCCCAGUGUAGAGGUGAAAUUCGUAGAUAUUGGGAAGAACACCAGUGGCGAAGGCGGCUCACUGGCCCGCAACUGACGCUGAGGUGCGAAAGCGUGGGGAGCAAACAGG
This 404-nucleotide ribosomal RNA is filed under the name uncultured bacterium. Its description in RNAcentral is "bacterial SSU rRNA". It matches the Rfam family "Bacterial small subunit ribosomal RNA", at positions 355 to 776 of the family's 1533-position model. The record is from RNAcentral.